UAGAUAGAUAGAUAGAUAGAUAGAUAGAUAGAUUAGUUGAACACGGUGGUCCGACCUAUCUGACGUUUCUGCUGUGCUUACUUUCUGUACUGUGUUGCUUUGCUAGCGUCUUUGACAAAUCUAUCUCGUUACGAACGACAACUCACCACUGGUCGGACUAACUUUCGGUGGUGUCAUUUUCUUUAGUCUGUGGCCCAACCGGUAAACUAGGUCUACAAGCUAAUGUUAGUGAAAAUGUUGAUAUAUGAAAGCAUCAAACAUGAAUUUAAGAUGCACAAAAAGAAAGGAUUGCCAAGAAAAGCAUAAAAAACCAUGUCCAGGCACUCAAUGCUGUUUACAAAAAGUAAUAAAAAAGCCUUUAAUAAAUAGGGAAAGACAUUAAAAAUACCCCCAACGCGUGUCGGCUUGAGCCUUCCUCAGGGUGUAGUAUGUGUAUGAAUUUGAGAUGAUUGAGAUGAGAGUAUAUCCAGUUGUUCCUUUCUCCUGCUUUGACCAAUAGUAUUGCUUUUCCAUGUAGGGUUUUAUCUUUGGUUAUUGUAUUUAGUUAUAUUUAUUUGAUAUUUCAUUUGUUGUUUACACAGUAAGUAAAUGAAUGUCAGUGCCAUCACUAGUUUGCACUAUAGUCAGUUCAGGAAUAUGUACACCAUAUAUUGUGUACAUAUAAUUACUGUACUGUUUUUUUUUUUUUUUUUUUAAAUCAAGUCCAGAUUAAAAUACCCUGAUGGUGUUCUUGAAAACAUGUUAAAGGUGUAUUAAUAUGAAGUAUGUUUUGGAUGUAAUAAAGAGCACUAUAAACA
This is a long non-coding RNA of Sander lucioperca (pikeperch), 797 nucleotides long. RefSeq lists it as uncharacterized. The transcript is spliced from 2 exons. NCBI's taxonomy places the organism in Eukaryota, Metazoa, Chordata, Actinopteri, Perciformes, Percidae. The record is from RefSeq and is a predicted model, not a curated record.